AUUGAACGCUGGCGGCAUGCCUUACACAUGCAAGUCGAGCGGCAGCACGGGUGCUUGCCCCUGGUGGCGAGUGGCGAACGGGUGAGUAAUACAUCGGAACAUGUCCUGUAGUGGGGGAUAGCCCGGCGAAAGCCGGAUUAAUACCGCAUACGAUCUACGGAUGAAAGCGGGGGACCUUCGGGCCUCGCGCUAUAGGGUUGGCCGAUGGCUGAUUAGCUAGUUGGUGGGGUAAAGGCCUACCAAGGCGACGAUCAGUAGCUGGUCUGAGAGGACGACCAGCCACACUGGGACUGAGACACGGCCCAGACUCCUACGGGAGGCAGCAGUGGGGAAUUUUGGACAAUGGGCGAAAGCCUGAUCCAGCAAUGCCGCGUGUGUGAAGAAGGCCUUCGGGUUGUAAAGCACUUUUGUCCGGAAAGAAAUCCUUGGCCCUAAUACGGUCGGGGGAUGACGGUACCGGAAGAAUAAGCACCGGCUAACUACGUG
Molecule: ribosomal RNA, 486 nt
Filed under: uncultured bacterium
Lineage: Bacteria
Description: partial 16S ribosomal RNA
Rfam family: Bacterial small subunit ribosomal RNA
Source: RNAcentral